This 406-nucleotide ribosomal RNA is filed under the name uncultured bacterium. RNAcentral's name for it is "partial 16S ribosomal RNA". It matches the Rfam family "Bacterial small subunit ribosomal RNA", at positions 30 to 526 of the family's 1533-position model. The record is from RNAcentral.
AUUGAACGCUGGAGGCAGGCAUAACACAUGCAAGUCGAACGCGUGGCGGACGGGUGAGUAAUGUCUGGGAAACUGCCUGAUGGAGGGGGAUAACUACUGGAAACGGUAGCUAAUACCGCAUACCAUCGGAUGUGCCCAGCUGGGAUUAGCUAGUAGGGGGGGUAAAGGCUCACCUAGGCGACGAUCCCUAGCUGGUCUGAGAGGAUGACCAGCCACACUGGAACUGAGACACGGUCCAGACUCCGACGGGAGUCAGCAGUGGGGAAUAUUGCACGAUGGGCGCAAGCCGGAGGCAGCACUGCCGCGUGUAUGAAGAAGGCCUUCGGGUUUUAAAGUAAUUUCAGCGGGGAGGCGUUACCCGCAGAAGAAGCACAGGCUAACUCCGUGCCAGCCGCCGCGGUAAUAC